Ribosomal RNA from Microcebus murinus (gray mouse lemur), 127 nucleotides. NCBI's taxonomy places the organism in Eukaryota, Metazoa, Chordata, Mammalia, Primates, Cheirogaleidae. The record is from Ensembl.
GUCUACAGCCAUACCACCCUGAACACGCCCGAUCUCGUCUGAUCUCGGAAACUAAGCAGGGUCGGGCCUGGCUAGUACUUGAAUGAGAGAAGUUAAAAAGGAUGAUAAAACCAAUUAAUGGUGGGUC